This 269-nucleotide ribosomal RNA is filed under the name Acinetobacter baumannii. Its description in RNAcentral is "partial 23S ribosomal RNA". It matches the Rfam family "Bacterial large subunit ribosomal RNA", at positions 1081 to 1350 of the family's 2925-position model. The record is from RNAcentral. Lineage: Bacteria; Pseudomonadati; Pseudomonadota; Gammaproteobacteria; Moraxellales; Moraxellaceae.
AGGCAUAGACAGCUAGGAGGUUGGCUUAGAAGCAGCCACCCUUUAAAGAAAGCGUAAUAGCUCACUAGUCGAGUCGGCCUGCGCGGAAGAUGUAACGGGGCUAAAACUAUGUGCCGAAGCUGCGGAUGUAUACUUUGUAUACGUGGUAGGGGAGCGUUCUGUAAGCCGAUGAAGGUGUGUUGAGAAGCAUGCUGGAGGUAUCAGAAGUGCGAAUGCUGACGUGAGUAACGACAAAACGGGUGAAAAACCCGUUCGCCGAAAGACCAAGG